CUUUCUUUGCUGGCGACCGGCGCACGGGUGAGUAACACGUAUCCAACCUGCCUUUACUCGGGGAUAGCCUUUCGAAAGAAAGAUUAAUACCCGAUAGUAUAAUGAUUCCGCAUGGUUUCAUUAUUAAAGGAUUCCGGUAAAGGAUGGGGAUGCGUUCCAUUAGGUUGUUGGUGAGGUAACGGCUCACCAAGCCUUCGAUGGAUAGGGGUUCUGAGAGGAAGGUCCCCCACAUUGGAACUGAGACACGGUCCAA
This 253-nucleotide ribosomal RNA is filed under the name uncultured bacterium. RNAcentral describes it as "partial 16S ribosomal RNA". It matches the Rfam family "Bacterial small subunit ribosomal RNA", at positions 79 to 334 of the family's 1533-position model. The record is from RNAcentral.